Long non-coding RNA from Zingiber officinale, 817 nucleotides. RefSeq lists it as uncharacterized. Lineage: Eukaryota; Viridiplantae; Streptophyta; Magnoliopsida; Zingiberales; Zingiberaceae. The record is from RefSeq and is a predicted model, not a curated record. The transcript has 3 exons.
CUUUAGUCCUUCUGCCUUCUUCGCUCGACUCACGUCGCCCUCUCCUCGUGAUUUCUUCCCUAUCACGUGACGCCAACCCGUGCUGCUCUGAUUGCUGACCGUCGGCUGUUGGACGAUGACGCCGAUGACAAGGAGGGUUGAACAUUUCAGGCGCACGACCACCGGCGUGGGACGCAGCCGCGAUAGGGGCGACGCCCAAUCCCUCCUACGAUCUGCCCUCCCAUCUUGUGAUUGCACGGGCGCAGAUCCAUCACCGCCUUUGUGUGGGGCUAGAGCAGUGACGUCGAUGCCGAUGGCACACCCCUUGAUUUCCACCAUUCGCGGUGUCGAUUCUUUUCGCCAUGCCCUAGCAACCGAGAUUCCCCUUUCGAUCCAACGCCAUUUACCUUGUGCUGGGCAGACACCGCGAAUCACCGCCACUGUUGCAAUCACCACUGGAUGCCAUCAUCUAUCUUCAAUCUUGGGCUAUCGUUGGCUGCUUGGCUACUAGGAGAUAGUUGUUGUCAGAGUUGGAUUUGUUGACAUGAAUUUGAGAUAAUGGAUUUGAUAUCAGGAUUGUGAAUUUGGGGGUUGGAACUUAAGGGGCAGCCAUUGCACUGUAGUUUCAGCCAUGAAUCCACGACAACAAGCUUCUCUAGCUGAGUCAACAUCGAAGUCUCUGGAUUGGGGAGGGGUAGUGAUUUCAUCUUCACCGACAGAGAGUUAUUCUAGCUAUAAGGCAUUGGUUGAGCCAUCAAUUUGGGUGAGUGGUUGACAUUGAUCUAUGUUUAGUUUAAACAUUUGGAUUGUGGAAUGGUUAAUGAUAUAAGUUUGGUUA